Molecule: ribosomal RNA, 436 nt
Filed under: Streptococcus mitis
Lineage: Bacteria; Bacillati; Bacillota; Bacilli; Lactobacillales; Streptococcaceae
Description: bacterial SSU rRNA
Rfam family: Bacterial small subunit ribosomal RNA
Source: RNAcentral
GACGAACGCUGGCGGCGUGCCUAAUACAUGCAAGUAGAACGCUGAAGGAGGAGCUUGCUUCUCUGGAUGAGUUGCGAACGGGUGAGUAACGCGUAGGUAACCUGCCUGGUAGCGGGGGAUAACUAUUGGAAACGAUAGCUAAUACCGCAUAAUAGUAGAUGUUGCAUGACAUUUGCUUAAAAGGUGCAAUUGCAUCACUACCAGAUGGACCUGCGUUGUAUUAGCUAGUUGGUGAGGUAACGGCUCACCAAGGCGACGAUACAUAGCCGACCUGAGAGGGUGAUCGGCCACACUGGGACUGAGACACGGCCCAGACUCCUACGGGAGGCAGCAGUAGGGAAUCUUCGGCAAUGGACGGAAGUCUGACCGAGCAACGCCGCGUGAGUGAAGAAGGUUUUCGGAUCGUAAAAGCUUCUGUUGUAAAGAGAAAGAAACG